RNAcentral lists this ribosomal RNA (440 nucleotides) under uncultured bacterium. RNAcentral describes it as "bacterial SSU rRNA". It matches the Rfam family "Bacterial small subunit ribosomal RNA", at positions 339 to 796 of the family's 1533-position model. The record is from RNAcentral.
CUACGGGAGGCAGCAGUGGGGAAUAUUGGACAAUGGGCGCAAGCCUGAUCCAGCCAUGCCGCGUGAGUGACGAAGGUCUUCGGAUUGUAAAGCUCUUUUGGCGGGGACGAUAAUGACGGUACCCGCAGAAUAAGCCCCGGCUAACUUCGUGCCAGCAGCCGCGGUAAUACGAAGGGGGCUAGCGUUGUUCGGAAUCACUGGGCGUAAAGCGCACGUAGGCGGAUUUGUUAGUCAGGGGUGAAAUCCCGGGGCUCAACCUCGGAACUGCCUUUGAUACUGAAAAUCUUGAGUUCGGGAGAGGUGAGUGGAACUGCGAGUGUAGAGGUGAAAUUCGUAGAUAUUCGGAGGAACACCAGUGGCGAAGGCGGCUCACUGGUCCGGUACUGACGCUGAGGUGCGAAAGCGUGGGGAGCAAACAGGAUUAGAAACCCCGGUAGUCC